GACUCGGGGAUAGCCUUUCGAAAGAAAGAUUAAUACCCGAUGGCAUAGUUCUUCCGCAUGGUAGAACUAUUAAAGAAUUUCGGUCAUCGAUGGGGAUGCGUUCCAUUAGCUUGUUGGCGGGGUAACGGCCCACCAAGGCAUCGAUGGAUAGGGGUUCUGAGAGGAAGGUCCCCCACAUUGGAACUGAGACACGGUCCAAACUCCUACGGAAGGCAGCAG
Molecule: ribosomal RNA, 219 nt
Filed under: uncultured bacterium
Lineage: Bacteria
Description: partial 16S ribosomal RNA
Rfam family: Bacterial small subunit ribosomal RNA
Source: RNAcentral